This 784-nucleotide ribosomal RNA is filed under the name Lactobacillus helveticus. RNAcentral describes it as "bacterial SSU rRNA". It matches the Rfam family "Bacterial small subunit ribosomal RNA", at positions 202 to 964 of the family's 1533-position model. Lineage: Bacteria; Bacillati; Bacillota; Bacilli; Lactobacillales; Lactobacillaceae. The record is from RNAcentral.
AAAGGGCGGCGUAACCUGUCGCUAUGGAUGGCCCCGCGUGCAUUAGCUAGUUGGUAAAGGUAACGGCUUUCCCAAGGCAAUGAUGCAUAGCCAAGUGAGAGAACUGAACGGCUCACAUUGGGACUGAGACACGGCCCCAAACUCCUACGGGAGGCAGCAGUAGGGAAAUCUUCCCACAAUGGUCGCAAGUCUGAUGGAGCAACGCCGCGUGAGUGAAGAAGGUUUUUCGGAUCGUAAAGCUCUGUUGUUUGGUGAAGAAGGAUAGAGGUAGUAACUGGCCUUUAUUUUGACGGUAAUCAACCAGAAAGUCACGGGCUAACUACGUGCCAGCAGCCGCGGUAAUACGUAGGUGGCAAGCGUUGUCCGGAUUUAUUGGGCGUAAAGCGAGCGCAGGCGGAAGAAUAAGUCUGAUGUGAAAGCCCUCGGCUUAACCGAGGAAUUGCAUCGGAAACUGUUUUUCUUGAGUGCAGAAGAGGAGAGUGGAACUCCAUGUGUAGCGGUGGAAUGCGUAUAUAUAUGGAAGAACACCAGUGGCGAAGGCGGCUCUCUGUUCUGCAACUGACGCUGAGGCUCGAAAGCAUGGGUAGCGAACAGGAUUAGAUACCCUGGUAGUCCAUGCCGUAAACGAUGAGUGGUAAGUGUUGGGAGGUUUCCGCCUCUCAGUGCUGCAGCUAACGCAUUAAGCACUCCGCCUGGGGAGUACGACCGCAAGGUUGAAACUCAAAGGAAUUGACGGGGGCCCGCACAAGCGGUUGAGCAUGUGGUUUAAUUCGAAGCAACGCGA